GGGAGGGGUGCAAGCGUUGUUCGGAAUUAUUGGGGCGUAAAGAGCGUGUAGGGCGGUCCGGGUAAGUCAGAUGUGAAAAGCCCUGGGCUCAACCCAGGAAGUGCAUUUGAAACUACCAGACUUGAGUACGGGAGAGGAGGGGGGAAUUCCCGGUGUAGAGGUGAAAUUCGUAGAUAUCGGGAGGAAUACCAGUGGCGAAGGCGCCCCUCUGGACCGAUACUGACGCUGAGACGCGAAAGCGUGGGGAGCAAACAGGAUUAGAUACCCUGGUAGUCCACGCCGUAAACGAUGAGCACUAGGUGUAGCGGGUAUUGACCCCUGCUGUGCCGUAGCUAACGCAUUAAGUGCUCCGCCUGGGGACUACGGUCGCAAGACUA
RNAcentral lists this ribosomal RNA (377 nucleotides) under uncultured organism. RNAcentral's name for it is "partial 16S ribosomal RNA". It matches the Rfam family "Bacterial small subunit ribosomal RNA", at positions 525 to 896 of the family's 1533-position model. The record is from RNAcentral.